ACCUACGGGGGGCAGCAGUGAGGAAUAUUGGUCAAUGGGCGCGAGCCUGAACCAGCCAAGUAGCGUGAAGGAUGACUGCCCUAUGGGUUGUAAACUUCUUUUAUAAGGGGAUAGAGUGAGGCACGUGUGCCUUUUUGUAUGUACUUUAUGAAUAAGGAUCGGCUAACUCCGUGCCAGCAGCCGCGGUAAUACGGAGGAUCCGGGCGUUAUCCGGAUUUAUUGGGUUUAAAGGGAGCGUAGAUGGGUGGUUAAGUCAGUUGUGAAAUGUUGCGGCUCAAC
This 279-nucleotide ribosomal RNA is filed under the name uncultured bacterium. Its description in RNAcentral is "partial 16S ribosomal RNA". It matches the Rfam family "Bacterial small subunit ribosomal RNA", at positions 337 to 613 of the family's 1533-position model. The record is from RNAcentral.